CUAUACAUGACUCUGCGCAUACAAUAAGCGGAGGAAAAGAAACUAACAAGGAUUCCCCUAGUAACGGCGAGUGAAGCGGGAAGAGCUCAAAUUUGAAAUCUUAAAGGGUUUCCCUUUACGAAUUGUAGUUUAAAGAAGUGUUUUCUGUUGAGGUUUUGGUAAAAGUUCUUUGGAAUAGGACAUCAUAGAGGGUGAGAAUCCCGUAUUUGACCUUUACUUUCAACUUUGUGAUACACUUUCAAAGAGUCGGAUUGUUUGGGAAUGCAGUCCAAAAUGGGUGGUAAAUUUCAUCUAAAGCUAAAUAUUGGCGAGAGACCGAUAGCGAACAAGUACCGUGAGGGAAAGAUGAAAAGAACUUUGAAAAGAGAGUUAAACAGUACGUGAAAUUGUCAAAAGGGAAGCGUUUGACACCAGUGUUGUUUUUCUGAAAAUCAAUUAAAGAACUGUUUAUGCUAAGUUGUUUAGACUUUAUCAGCUAACUGUUUAGUUUUGAGCUUUUCUUUAAUGCACUUUUCAGUUAACAAGUCAACAUCAAUUUCUUUUGCUGUAAAAAAGCUUGAGGAAGGUGGCUUGAGAUUCGUCUUAAGUGUUUAUAGCCUCUUGCCUAUGCAGUCGGAGAGAUUGAGGUCUGCAGCGUAGAUCCUUCGGGGCUAAAUGCAUUUGUGCUAAGUUAUAGCAUUUUAUAGACAACUUGUUGACUAUGAUUUGUCUUGUAGCUUACUCGCUUAUGUUAUUUUACCUACGCUUAGGAUGUUGAGCGCAUGUCUCUCUCU
This 773-nucleotide ribosomal RNA is filed under the name uncultured Neocallimastigales. RNAcentral describes it as "partial large subunit ribosomal RNA". It matches the Rfam family "Eukaryotic large subunit ribosomal RNA", at positions 21 to 616 of the family's 3401-position model. The record is from RNAcentral. Lineage: Eukaryota; Fungi; Neocallimastigomycota; Neocallimastigomycetes; Neocallimastigales.